CCUACGGGGGGCUGCAGUGGGGAAUAUUGCACAAUGGGCGCAAGCCUGAUGCAGCCAUGCCGCGUGUGUGAAGAAGGCCUUCGGGUUGUAAAGCACUUUCAGCGGGGAGGAAGGCGGUGAGGUUAAUAACCUCAUCGAUUGACGUUACCCGCAGAAGAAGCACCGGCUAACUCCGUGCCAGCAGCCGCGGUAAUACGGAGGGUGCAAGCGUUAAUCGGAAUUACUGGGCGUAAAGCGCACGCAGGCGGUCUGUCAAGUCGGAUGUGAAAUCCCCGGGCUCAACCUGGGAACUGCAUUCGAAACUGGCAGGCUAUAGUCUUGUAGAGGGGGGUAGAAUUCCAGGUGUAGCGGUGAAAUGCGUAGAGAUCUGGAGGAAUACCGGUGGCGAAGGCGGCCCCCUGGACAAAGACUGACGCUCAGGUGCGAAAGCGUGGGGAGCAAACAGGAUUAGAUACCCCGGUAGUC
This 465-nucleotide ribosomal RNA is filed under the name uncultured Klebsiella sp. RNAcentral describes it as "bacterial SSU rRNA". It matches the Rfam family "Bacterial small subunit ribosomal RNA", at positions 338 to 795 of the family's 1533-position model. The record is from RNAcentral. Lineage: Bacteria; Pseudomonadati; Pseudomonadota; Gammaproteobacteria; Enterobacterales; Enterobacteriaceae.